AUUCUGCCCAUGCGGGGAAGGAUGAGAAGCUUCGACCAAGGUUCGGCUCUCGAGCAAGUCAUGAGAGCCGUUGCCGCAGGCAACGACCUCGAAGGGCGAAGCUAUGCAGCGCGCUGAGUAAUCCUUCCCCCACCACCA
RNAcentral lists this small RNA (138 nucleotides) under Escherichia coli. Its description in RNAcentral is "RtT sRNA". It matches the Rfam family "RtT RNA". Rfam says of the family: This family represents a bacterial cis-regulatory element known as RtT RNA. The exact function of RtT is unknown although it is thought that it may be involved in changing the cellular response in relation to amino acid starvation. Lineage: Bacteria; Pseudomonadati; Pseudomonadota; Gammaproteobacteria; Enterobacterales; Enterobacteriaceae. The record is from RNAcentral.